CAUUCGUAUCACAUAUCCCCAGAUAGCCUGGAUCUGAGUGCAUAUUAUUGGCGAAUAGCGCUCAGAUCCCACACACAUAGUUCAAUCGCCAUGGAGUCAAAGUUCUUACAGUCUUUCGGUAUACGAAUGACUCCAUGGGAAGGCUAUCUGGGUUAAGUCUUUUCGUAUGCUCCAAAACUCCCGAACGGCCGGUGUUCGUAUGGUUUCUUGGAGGCAGCCAGGCGUUCCGUUGUUUCAGCGGUGUUCGGCAGAAAAAGUGUCCGUUUUUAGUUCCAUAGAAAUAGAGCCAAACACCGCUGGGCUUUCGCUUGGUUUAAAAUGGCCGCUGCCUCGUGGUCGACAUACGAACGACGACCACCCUGAAUUCGGUUUAAUUGAGAAGUGUCUGCGGUUAAC
This is a non-coding RNA of Pelobates cultripes (western spadefoot toad), 396 nucleotides long. NCBI's taxonomy places the organism in Eukaryota, Metazoa, Chordata, Amphibia, Anura, Pelobatidae. The record is from the annotation of a GenBank genome assembly.